AUUGAACGCUGGCGGCAGGCCUAACACAUGCAAGUCGAGCGGAUGAAGGGAGCUUGCUCCUGGAUUCAGCGGCGGACGGGUGAGUAAUGCCUAGGAAUCUGCCUGGUAGUGGGGGAUAACGUCCGGAAACGGGCGCUAAUACCGCAUACGUCCUGAGGGAGAAAGUGGGGGAUCUUCGGACCUCACGCUAUUAGAUGAGCCUAGGUCGGAUUAGCUAGUUGGUGGGGUAAAGGCCUACCAAGGCGACGAUCCGUAACUGGUCUGAGAGGAUGAUCAGUCACACUGGAACUGAGACACGGUCCAGACUCCUACGGGAGGCAGCAGUGGGGAAUAUUGGACAAUGGGCGAAAGCCUGAUCCAGCCAUGCCGCGUGUGUGAAGAAGGUCUUCGGAUUGUAAAGCACUUUAAGUUGGGAGGAAGGGCAGUGAGUUAAUACCUUGCUGUUUUGACGUUACCAACAGAAUAAGCACCGGCUAACUUCGUG
This 484-nucleotide ribosomal RNA is filed under the name uncultured bacterium. Its description in RNAcentral is "partial 16S ribosomal RNA". It matches the Rfam family "Bacterial small subunit ribosomal RNA", at positions 30 to 507 of the family's 1533-position model. The record is from RNAcentral.